AUUGAACGCUGGCGGCAGGCCUAACACAUGCAAGUCGAAUGGUAACAGGAAACAGCUUGCUGUUUCGCUGACGAGUGGCGGACGGGUGAGUAAUGUCUGGGAAACUGCCUGAUGGAGGGGGAUAACUACUGGAAACGGUAGCUAAUACCGCAUAACGUCGCAAGACCAAAGAGGGGGAACUUCGGGCCUCUUGCCCUCAGAUGUGCCCAGAUGGGAUUAGCUAGUAGGUGGGGUAACGGCUCACCUAGGCGACGAUCCCUAGCUGGUCUGAGAGGAUGACCAGCCACACUGGAACUGAGACACGGUCCAGACUCCUACGGGAGGCAGCAGUGGGGAAUAUUGCACAAUGGGCGCAAGCCUGAUGCAGCCAUGCCGCGUGUAUGAAGAAGGCCUUCGGGUUGUAAAGUACUUUCAGCGGGGAGGAAGGGAGUAAAGUUAAUACCUUUGCUCAUUGACGUUACCCGCAGAAGAAGCACCGGCUAACUCCGUG
RNAcentral lists this ribosomal RNA (490 nucleotides) under uncultured bacterium. RNAcentral's name for it is "partial 16S ribosomal RNA". It matches the Rfam family "Bacterial small subunit ribosomal RNA", at positions 30 to 507 of the family's 1533-position model. The record is from RNAcentral.